AGUUGGGAAGGCCCUGCAGAGUUAUACAGAGACAAAAGACGAGGCAACAGGAUGAGGGCUGUCCUGGGAGGGGGCACAACUUUGGGCAAAGCGGCUCUUUUCAGCCAGGGUAAUUCCCAAAGAAGGCCGACAGCUGAGGCUGUGUUGGCAGCACUCCCAGCGCCAGGGGGAAUGAGCCCUUGAGCUCUGAAGGGGAGCCUAUGGUGCAGCACAGUGAGGACUCAGCUGGUCCUCUUGGCCCUGGCGCCCUCCUUCUGGUCCCUGCGGCCUGCUUUCUGCAUUUUGGACUCAACUCAGACAUUGGGGUGGUCCCUGGUGUGGCGGAUCACACCAGCCGACUGCCUCAAAACCCGUCUCUCCUUCUUCCUUACAAACCAUGACUAUGUUCAGGCAGCUAGAGGUGGCCAGGCAGCAUAGCCCUGGCCAGCUAGACUGAGUGGAAAUCUACUGGGGAUCCCUGUGAAAUUAUUCUUUUCUCAUAUUAUUGCUGCCCCUUCCUCCUUCUCUCAGUUUAUUUCUUCUUUUUUCUUCCUGCUUAGAAUGCAAAUAUGAAGCUGGCAGUCGUCUAGCCAUCUGGAGCUCAUGUGGCAACCAAGGGGAAGAAAGCUUUACUCCAGGGAUGCGGAAAGAGAGCUGGACGCAGCAGCUGGGUAUUUAUGUGAGUAAGACAAGACCAUAAUUAGUCAAGCCACUCCUGUGGCUGGGUUUCUGUUGUUUGCAGGUGAGGGGACUCAGCUGGAAUACACUGGAAUGGUCACCCCUGUUAUUAUGGCUGGUGUCUGUGCUGGCUGCUCAGUGCAUUGUUCUGGCACAACUGGUUAUCUAGAAACACACGGGCUGGAGCUGUGAGUCAUAGGUUACGGGUUUUGGACUUGGGGAGCUGAUGAAGAGUCUCAGAAAAUAGGGAAGGAAUUCUAAAGGGUGGGUGUGGAGGAGGCUAGGCAGCAAGAAACAAGCGUGGGACGAGGGAAAGAUGAAGUCAAAUCACUGUCGUUCAAUAGUGAUCAUUUCCUACCAACCUCCAGUGUCACCGCACAUUGAGGUCUUUCAUGGACCGCACACAGGACUAGGGAGGUGGCAUGGGAGAGCUUAGGCCUCAAAGAUCGGCAGAACUAAGUCUGAAUCUUGGAUCCCUCACUGAUAAGCUAUGUGAUCUUGGGCAAGUCACUUAGCUUGUCUGAGUUUUGUCUGGAAAAGAGGUAAUAAGACUUACAAAUAGAGAUGCGCCAAGAAAAACAUUUCAAAUAAAUUGAUGAGAAAAUGGAGGAAAACAAGCAGACAGCAGUGAGUCAGGCCACAGAGCAUGUGCUCCACCGUUCAGUACACUUGCUGGAAGCCCUCCAACAAACCGGCUCCCAGUCGAGCAGCCAAUGAAAAUGGCAAAACACAUCUAUUUUCAGACUCUCAGGACUCACAAAAUCAGGCAAGGUAGUUCCCUGGAAGACACACGGCCAUUCUUGGCACAGGAUUCAAGGAGAGAAAUGUCUUCCAUGGAUCUUCUUUAAGAAGACAUAGACGUAGUGAAGGCUGUUCUGAAGUAUUUUACACAAGACCAUCUUGAAAAAGUGGUUAAAUAAGUUUGGAAAGCCCCGUCUAUCAGGUCUCCUUGGGGAGUCCCACACUGAUCAAUGUUUUAAAGCCUCCGUGAAUCUCACAGCAAACAAACUAGCUUCCAGAGCUUCUGGAGCACAGAAGGGUAUCUUCCACGUCCUCUUCCUCUCGUUCCUGUUUUUCUGUAGCCGCUGUUAUCUAGAGUGUCAUGGAGCACUCGAAGGCAACUACUGGGCAGUGUUUUCCCCAACAGGAAGGGAAAGAAAGGUGUGGUGAGCUGAGGUUAUUCCUCGGAACUCCUGCAGAAGUCCUGGGCCCACUUCUGGAGUGCAGCCAGAAGGGAAUGGUAGUCUGAACCUUGACCUUAGCAGCUCAGGCCAGUUUCUUUGCGUGGGUUGGUUUUGUAGGUUCUAUAGAGCUAAGAGGCUGCCUCUCAAAGUCGCCUCCACUCACUCAUUGUCUUCCUGGGCUUGUGCCGUGUCUCUUCAAUCUUUGGAGCAUGAAGAUGCGGUGGAAGUCACAUGGAGAGAAGUCUGACAGGCAUCAAAACAGGCUUGGAGACUCCUGGGAGGUUCAGUGACCAGUCUCGUCCAAGGAACUGAAGACCUAAAGCAAUGUUGCCUGAAGAGACCUACACAACUUCCCGGAGGAAGGGGAUGCUUCACAGAUCGUGGAGGCUAUACACACAACCAGGACCAAGAUACAGCUCAGAAACUGGUGGGCUCUUAUCCUUUCAUUGCUGUUCACCUCACCCGGGGUCACUGGAUAAUGUCCAAGUUGUCGUAACUAACACAUGUAGAUCAACAAAUAAUGGGAGAGAGUGGGUAAGUGGCUGGGCUGCCGAAAUCGCACCUGAAGGAGUAGAUGUCAUUCAGAGCAUCCUACACAGGGUCCAACCGGCUGUGCUGACCCAGGUUCCUGAUUCUGUCCACACAGCACAGUCCAGUGGGUGGGGCCUGAUGGUAAAAGUACAGACGCUACCUAAAUCUGCAUUCAAAAUCCAGAUGAUCUGUCCUUUGGGGCCAUGCUGCGGAUCAGGAGUAUAAAGAAGGCUGAGGCCACCCAGAGCAAGGGGAGAGGAUCCUCUGCAGCUCGGCAGGAUUUCAAGCCCCACAAAGAUGAACUAGAGUUCACAGUGGGUACUAGCAAGCCAGAGUCAGAAAUCACUGCUCCAGAGACCAAAAGGGUGCCAGAGUUUCUCUUUCCUCUACAACGAAGAUGACCUGAUAUGAGGUAUAAGACUAGAAUUCGAAGACAUCCUAUCUUAGGCGGGGUAGGGUGUUGAAACAAGGUGCAUAUGCUUUCUCCUUUACGCUGUUAUUUUUUAAAGUGUGCUGAAAGCAGAGUUACAAUCUGAUUGUUAAUCUAGCACAGUUUGCUUUGCUGGAAACACUCAUUUUGAGGGGAAACCUGCUAUCCGCGGUACCUUAUCUCAUCAAGGUGUGACUUUCGACACAUGUUUCUAUUGGGUUGUUUUCGUCUUUUUCUUGCAAAUUUGAAAGAACUCUCUCUGUUAUAGAUAUCAAUACUGUAUUGACUAUCCUUGUUGCAAGUAUUUUUUUCAAACAAUUAUUUUUAUAUUGGCUUUUCUAGGGUCUGUUUUAUUCUACAAAAAUUUGAAAAAUUUAUGUAAUCAAAUGUGUUUAUCUUUUAUAGCUUCUGGAUUCUUUUGUCACUAUCGCUAGUAUAAGGAAAAGCUACUGAUUUUUUUGUGUUAGGAGUUUUUUCUCUUGGGUGUUCUAGAUAUACGAACAUGUAAAGUUUUGCUGAUUAUUUCUCUUUUUGUACUCACUGUGCUUGUUAGACCCUCUAAGAUAAUAUUAAAUUAUAAUGGUGGUGGCAGUCUGCUAUAUAUGGUUCCUGAACCUAACUGGUUUAGUUUUAAUAUUUUACCAUUUGGGGUGGUAUUUUUAGAGGAUUUUGGUAGCAAAUUUGAUCACAAAUAGUUCCACAAUUUCCUCUAUUUUGGAAAUAAUUGCUGCUAUUUUAUCAAAUAAUUGUUCAGUAUUUAUUAAUGCAAUCAUUUUGGUUUUGUUCUUUAAUUUGUUAAUCUAAUGCAUUAAGAGAAUAGAGUUCUAAUAUGGACCACCUUUUUGUGUUUAGAUAACAUCACUUGACCAUAAUCUAUUACUCUUUUGGUAGACUGCUGGAUCUCAUUCACAACUGCUUGAUUUUACUUACGAAUUUGUAAGAUUGCUAUCAUAGUUGCAUUCUAUCUUUAACAUAGAGUGGCUUCACAAAAUUAAACGGGACAUUUUCCAUCUUUUUCUAUGAGCUACAAUAAUUUAAAUAUCAUAGAAAUGAUCUAUCCCUUAAAGGUUAGGUAGAACUUAGUGUGAAAACAUCCACUUCUGGUAUCUUUUUUAAAGUAGAUAUUAGUUUACCUUUCUAAUUUUUCCACAGUAAUACACUUGCAACAACAUGUAUGAAUUAUUUUUGUAAUCUGAAAGCCAUCAAAAGAGGAAAAGAAAAUCAUAAGGCAGAAAGUAAAACUAGUCAGUGGUUAUUAUUAACAUUUUAAAAUAUAUGCUUCUGGUCUUUUCUCUAUGAAAGCUUUUCAGAUACUUACCGAUAGUAGUUGGUUGUCCCUCUCGUGGCAUUAGUAGCCACUGGUGAUCAUUGCCUGGAUGUAUUAAUUCAUUAGGGGUUACAAAGUGGUGACAUCAUCAUUCUAUCGUUUCUUCUUUAUUUAUUACCUGGACUACUUCUAUAAAAAGAAACUUCUCAAUUUGAUUGCAA
Equus asinus (donkey) is the source of this 4290-nucleotide long non-coding RNA. The record is from Ensembl. NCBI's taxonomy places the organism in Eukaryota, Metazoa, Chordata, Mammalia, Perissodactyla, Equidae.